Molecule: ribosomal RNA, 370 nt
Filed under: uncultured Neocallimastigales
Lineage: Eukaryota; Fungi; Neocallimastigomycota; Neocallimastigomycetes; Neocallimastigales
Description: eukaryotic LSU rRNA
Rfam family: Eukaryotic large subunit ribosomal RNA (bases 315-370)
Source: RNAcentral
UCUACGUAGCGUGAAUCAUCGAAUCUUUGAACGCAUCUUGCACUUUUCAGGUCUCCUGGAAAGUAUACUUGUUUGAGUAUCAUAAACACCGCUCAGAGUCACACGCUUUGGUGUGUCCUCUCUGGAAGUGAGACGUCAGGGAGCAUUGCGCUCCUUGUGUCUUUUAAUUGAUAUGCAGUGCGCUUCCGCUUGCACCCCGCGUGCAUGGUGGAUGCCCAACUACUAAAUGUGAGAUAAAUAUCGCACAAAGCGGUCGUUGGGUCAAGUGCUGCUACGCCCAGCGUGCCCCCAAAGGGCACACACCCCCGAGUCAUUGAUCUCAAAUCAAGUAAGAGUACCCGCUGAACUUAAGCAUAUCAAUAAGCGGAGG